Molecule: ribosomal RNA, 468 nt
Filed under: uncultured bacterium
Lineage: Bacteria
Description: partial 16S ribosomal RNA
Rfam family: Bacterial small subunit ribosomal RNA
Source: RNAcentral
GACGAACGCUGGCGGCGUGCUUAACACAUGCAAGUCGAACGGAAAGGCCCUGCUUUUGUGGGGUGCUCGAGUGGCGAACGGGUGAGUAACACGUGAGUAACCUGCCCUUGACUUUGGGAUAACUUCAGGAAACUGGGGCUAAUACCGGAUAGGAGCUCCUGCUGCAUGGUGGGGGGUGGAAAGUUUCGGCGGUUGGGGAUGGACUCGCGGCUUAUCAGCUUGUUGGUGGGGUAGUGGCUUACCAAGGCUUUGACGGGUAGCCGGCCUGAGAGGGUGACCGGCCACAUGGGGACUGAGAUACGGCGCAGACUCCUACAGGAGGCAGCAGUGGGGAAUAUUGCACAAUGGGCGGAAGCCUGAAGCAGCAACGCCACGUGCGGGAUGACGGCCUUCGGGUUGUAAACCGCUUUCGCCUGUGACGAAGCGUGAGUGACGGUAAUGGGUAAAGAAGCACCGGCUAACUACGUG